RNA transcript from Bactrocera latifrons, 8764 nucleotides. It is a transcript of the gene named polyhomeotic-proximal chromatin protein-like, with no coding region annotated. The transcript is spliced from 11 exons. NCBI's taxonomy places the organism in Eukaryota, Metazoa, Arthropoda, Insecta, Diptera, Tephritidae. The record is from RefSeq and is a predicted model, not a curated record.
UACGCUUAUUUUUACAACGUACUAUUGUGAAUUUCAGUGUACAUUUUCACAAGUCUCUCAACAUUUUUAGACAAAAUUGUUGUUAGCAUCUCUAGUGUGUGAAAAAAUUUCGGUAGGUUGUGAAAAUAAAGUAAUUGUAUUGAAAAUAAUUAAAAUAUAUAUAAAAUACUUCAAUAAAACACUGCAAUAAACUGGUUGGCGUUGAUUGUAUGUUUUGUUAUUCAUACGUGAAGCACUGUAAGGUGAAGAACACAUAAAAGUGCACUGCUCUAAUUGUUUGCGAGAAUACACGGACCUCAGCGGUGACUUUCAAUAAACUGCUAGUGAAUUUAUUAUGCAAACAAAAAAAGUUAAACAGUGAAAAUAAGUUCUGUAAAAAUGUGAUUAGUGCUUGGGAAAUUCAUGAAAACUGCUGCCAUUUGUAGAAGCUAAAAAGAGAUCCCCGAAUGUGAACGAUCGAAAACGAUUAUCCUCUUUUGUCACUACAUUGUAUCGUGCUGCAUUGAUAGCUUGACAAAACGUGGUGUUUUUGUUGCUUUGGCAUGCUUGCUACGUUCGUUCAUUGUUGCACCACUGUGAAUUGCAAAAUUAAAUAUGUCAGUAGGUGUAUGCAGUGGUGGCAGCCAUUGUGAAUGCAUUAGUUUUUUCGCUGUGGUCACGUACUCUCUUUUAUGCUGUGCAAUUUUGUUAUAAUUUAGUCAGCUUUACCUGCGCGAAGAAUAUUGCGAAUUAAUAUUGUUUACAUUAUUGCAAAUACAAUAUUAGUGUGAUCCUACUUUAUGUGUAAAGAAAAUAUUGACAAAGUGAAAAUCAAUUAAAUGGAACACCUAACCAGCGACUAACAUUUAUUGCCAUUAAUAAAAUCGUAAUCGAAAAGCAAAUAAAAUAAACGUUGCUAUAACGGUUAAAUACAUUUAGCGAACGCGUGUGUGUGUGUGUAAGUGCAUGUGUGACAAGCAUUGCACUUAAAUAAAGAAGCACAACACACAAAAAAUGUCKUCAUCCAGCGUAGAUGUACCGCGGAUUAUGGUCUUUCGACCGACUUGGGAAGAAUUCAAGAAUUUUCCCAAAUACAUCGCCUACAUGGAAUCACAAGGCGCACACAAAGCCGGUUUGGCCAAAGUAGUGCCACCACCCGAGUGGGUGCCACGACGCAGUGGCUACGAUGACCUGGAUGCACUCAACAUAACCAUACCGGCGCCGAUUUGUCAGGUGGUGACCGGCAAACAGGGUCUCUAUCAACAAAUCAACAUACAGAAGAAACCACUCACCGUGAAGCAAUUCAGUGAAUUGGCGUCCACAGAGCGGUAUCAAACGCCCAAACAUUUUGACUUUGAAGAUCUCGAGCGUAAAUAUUGGAAGAAUAUUACCUAUGUAGCGCCGAUAUAUGGAGCGGAUGUUAGCGGUAGUAUUACAGAUGUGGAUCAGGAUAGUUGGAAUAUAAAUCGUCUGGGCACAAUAYUGGACUUUGUUAACGAGGAUUACGGCAUUCAAAUUGAUGGUGUGAAUACGGCAUAUUUGUAUUUUGGYAUGUGGAAGACCACUUUUGCCUGGCACACCGAAGAUAUGGAUCUCUAUUCGAUAAACUAUUUACACUUUGGCGCACCGAAGACGUGGUAUGUCGUUCCACCCGAACAUGGGCGCAAAUUGGAGAAGGUCGCGAAUCAAUAUUUUCCGGCAAGCUAUCAAAAUUGCAACGCAUAUUUGCGGCAUAAAAUGACACUGAUCAGUCCGCAAGUGCUUAAGCAACACGAUGUGCCAGUGAGCAAAAUAACACAAGAGGCUGGUGAAAUAAUGAUAACAUUUCCUUUCGGCUACCAYGCCGGCUUCAAUCAUGGUUUCAAUUGCGCCGAGUCUACAAAUUUUGCUAUGGAACGGUGGAUUGAAUAUGGAAAACGUGCCGUUCAAUGUACCUGCAGCAACGAUAUGGUUAAGAUCUCCAUGGACACAUUCGUGAAACGCUUUCAGCCCGACCGCUAUCAGGCGUGGCUGGAGGGCAAUGAUGUGGGCAGACAUCCGGAGGAUCCGCCCAGUGCUGUAGCCGCAGCACCACUACCAUCACAUUUGGAUGUGACAUGCAAUAAGAAUCAUGGGGCUGACAAUAUACCAAUGCACGUAAUACAAAGAAUGAAGAAACAAUGUAACCCUACAAAAAAGAAGUCAUUCAAAGAGCGCAAUCCUGACUUGAAUUUAGAGGAGAUACAACUAAAUCCCAACAUACCCGAUGAGGUUAAGGCUGUACUGAAAGAGAGCGUACUCACACUCGACGCUGAGGACGAAGAGCCGGCCAUAAUCGGUGACGGUGAACCUGAGUUACUGAUUCCACUAAGYCCAGCUAAUUUGAAGACCAAAAAGGAAUUAUUAGACUACAUCGAUGAUGGCACAGAUGAAGAUGAGGAGGAGGAGUUUCGUAAGCGUCGUCAUAAGCGCAAACAUCAUUCCGAUUAUGAUGAUGAUUGGUUCACCAGCAAACGGCGUACGAAUUCACGMAAUAGCAGUAAAGGUCGUAGUCCGCGCAAUAGCAAUAAAGACGAUCGCUCCAUAUCGCCGGCAUCKUCAACAUCCUCAUCGUCACGUGCACGUCGUCAGCCAUGUACGACGCCUGGCAAAACGCCACGCAAGACGCCAAAUCGCCGAAAGAAAGACAAUGCAGCGACAACACCAAAUGCUACCGCCGCCACGACAGUGCUCACAAAAGCGACACAAAUCGAGGCUGUGGCAAACGUUCUGAAAACCGCAGCAGCCGUUUCGCAAGCGCUAAGCGGACAAUGCAGUGAUGAAAAUGGCAAUAGCAAUAGCAACAGCAGUGGCGGUGUUGCGAGCACACCAGCGCCCAASGUUGAGACACCAGCUGUAGCCGUGACCGUGUCAGCCGUAGCUGCUGCUGCCGAUUUGGCGGGAGGUAACGGCAGUUUAGCAGUCACAACAAAUUCAACUACCACAACCGCGCACACUCCCGUAAUACGUGUGGUGCGUAAGUUGAGCGAUCAGCUAAGCAAUCACAACAACGAUCUCCCCUCUGUGCCGAGUGUGUUGCAGUUCAUGCAACAAACACGUAAAUUCGAGGGUAAAAUACCGAAAAUCGGUCAACAAGUGAAUUUACAACGCGCCCAACUGCUCAUAAUGCCAACAACAUCGAACGCUUCGACCGGCUCCACUGCUGUUGCUAAUACCACUAACGCCAUAACAACAGCAACAACAUCUAGUCAGCAACAACAACAACAGCAACAGCAGCUUGAGCAGGAGCAACAACAGCAAACAAUUGUUUAUACAACAAUGUUGCCGGCAGCAAGCACAUUGAAUGGCAUCGUUGCACAGCAAAGUGCGCAGCAACAACAACAGCAAACACAAUACAUUACAAUACCCGCCACAUCGUCGGCGUCGGGUGCUAAUAGCACGGACGGCACUGUUUAUCAGUUGCAAAGYGAAAUUGUUUGCGAUGCAGCUACAUAUCAGCAACAGCAGCAACAACAACAGCAACAGCACGAACAGCAGCAACAACAACAACAAUUGACUGCACAAAGCAUYAACGGCAAUACAAUUGCUGUAACGUCGGCCGCCGCAGCGCAAGACAAUGUGGUCACCACUAUUAGUUCGUCCCCUAUACUGCUCACCUCGACCGCCGCUGCUGUCGCCGAAGCCAAUAAUAACCACCACCAGCAACAUCAUCUCCAACAACAACACAAUUCCGCUGCUGCCGCCACAUCGACCUAUACCACCACAACCACCACUGCCACACCGCUCCACGCAAUCAAAACUGAAAUUAACGACGAAACGAAUCACAUUAUUGUCAAUGGCGAUGGGACAACGCUGCAGACGCAGUCGCACCCUCAGUAUCAUUACAUCACCACUACAGGUGAAGAUGGACAAACGCCGACGACAAUCGUUUUUGAAAACUACAAUGGUGAGGUCACUGAAGUGAAUGGGGGUGGGGGCGCCACCACGAUCAUUAAAUUUGAGGGUGGCGAUACCGAGUAUCAAGGAUAUCAGGUGAUAAAACAAGAGGAGGAUAACUCAAAUGGCAUGCACAAUGAUGGAUCGUCAAUGGAACAACAACAGCAACAAAACCAACAACAACAACAUCAGCAGCAACAACAGCAACCACAAUUUACUUAUAAAACUAUAAAACAAGACCAAGAAAUGAAUCAAACUAUAACCGACACGAUAAUAGUGCCCGCCAACGGCGUACCAGCGAUACCACCGCAAAAACAAAAGCGCAAGCGAAAAACACGUUUGAUUUCUCCCGACGAACAGGGCGAGUACUUGGAGAAGAUGUCGGUGCGCGGUCUGGACAUCCAGCGUUACGAACAUAUCAUUGACGGCGUCUCCUAUUGCCUGGUGUGUGCCAAAAAUGACGUUUUCAAAACAUUCAAAAACAAAUACAGUUUCCAACGUCACGCCUACCUAUUCCACGAAGGCGACAAUCGCAAGAUAUUCGCCUGCCCCAUUUGCAAUAAAGAGUUUUCACGUCCCGACAAAAUGAAAAUGCAUAAAAAAGAUAAACAUGGCGACAUGCAAGUACCCGAUGGCACUCUUACAACAGCGGCCACACCGGUGAAACAAUCGCCAGACACCAAUACAGGUAAGCGUCCACGUGCCACCAGCGCACGAUCAUCACGUGCGCGGAAACCACGCGCCACCAUAGCCAACACCGCGACGGCGACUGUCAACAGCGGCAGUGAAGAGAAUGCCGUUGAAGCGAAGCGUAAACGCCUUGCGCAAAUCGAUAGCGUUUUAGAUGUCGUGCAGCAGCAAGCAGCCGGCGUAAAUGGAACACAGGCGCAAACGACCACUAUCAAUGUACAACUGCAACAGCAGGCAAACGCACAAGUGCAGGUACAACAACAACAGGCAUUGCCGCCCAUCGAUUUGAGUGGCAUGAUUCUGCCUGGUGGCGCUCAGCUAGCGCUGGCCAAUCCCGGCGCAACGUCUGCGCUUCUCCAGCAACAACGCGUUGCACAACAACAACAACAGCAGCAGCAACAGUCGCAUGCCCCACCACCACAGCAUAUUGCAUUGUCUGCGCAAGCAACGCAGGUGCUGCAGCCGUCAGCAACAGCCGCCACUGCUGCUGGCGCCGCUGGCACCACUCUCAUUUAUUCCAAUCAGAUUGAUUUGCAGCAAGCGCUGUUACAGCAACAGCUGCAUGGCCAAAGUAUUAUGAUACAAGAUCAAGCUGGCAAUUUGGUGCCGCUGCAAUCAUUGCAAGCGCUCAACGCAACCACCACGCUAGACGGUACGCAAACAAUCUACACCACACAGCCGGCGCGUCAUGCACAACCGCCGCAACAGUUGCUGCAGCCAACGCACCAAACGACGCCGCCAAAUGCCUAUCAGCCGGCGCCGCAACAGCAUAUACAGCUGCAGGCGUUACCAACCGGUUCGCCACAAGAGACUAUCAUCACAACGACAUCGCCUGCCGCGCAGGCUCAGCAGCAACAGCAACAGCAGCUGAAAACAACCACACAGCAUCAGCAACAGCACACAAGCAAUGUUGUGACACAGCAGCAGCAGCAACAACAACAACAGCACUAUGAGCUAGAAAAUGUUGCGUAUUUGUCGUCGACUGCUGCAACGCCGGCGCCGCCAGAGCAACAACAUCAACAACAACAACACCAUGUCAUCGGCACUGUGCAAAGCUAUCAGAUACUCACGCCCGACGGUUUGCAAAGCUACCCCACCGCCACAGCGACGACAACCAAGUUGGAACCGAGCGAUUUGGCGGAACUUUGUCCAUACACUUCAAUGACCAGCACGACGCCACAUUACACAUUCACAACACAUGCGGGACAUCAUGGCGCCACCGCGGACGCGCUGCAUCAGCAAGUUGCCGGCGCCACAACUAGUCAUACACAGCAGCAGCAGCAGCAGCACCAGUUGACGGCUGGCGGCGGCGGCCAGCAGCAGCAUCACAUACAGCAGCAGCAUCAUUUCAUGGAGCUCAAGAACGAUUUGUUGAUUAAAAGCGCAACUGAUGCGUACGCGUUGGACGCGAGCUCCAUGUAUCACCUGCCCUUCUCGCCGUCAUCGAUGAUCAGCUCGGUGAAUGAUGGCAACGGACAGUCGCUGCUCGAAACCAAAGAGAUUAGGACCAUUGCUGGGACACAAGUCAGAAAUACCAACAAUACCGUUAUUACCACCACCAGCAGCAACAACAACAAGAAGACAACGAUACAGCCGCGUACAGUGCAACUGUUAGUGACGCGUCGUCCCAUCAUCGCAAACAACAACGCCAACAGCAAYAGAACGCAAGUUGUUGCAAACAAUARUGGCGCUGCCGCCACGCAAACAGCGACAAUUGUGACACCUGGCGUAUUGAAAAUAUCUUCGGCGGCAAUGCAUGCAAAUAACAAUAAUAACAAUCAAAUUUUACAUACCACCACCGGUACUGAAACCGUCGUAAUUGAGGAGGAGGACGAUGAACUGCUCACAGCCACGAGUGGCGAUGACGGCUCAAUGUCACCGAACGCACUMGCUAUGUCGGCGACYACAGCGCAAAUUUUACGCAAAUUCCGUAUACCUAAGGGAACUGCAUUGACGGCGAAAUCGAUCAGCAGCGUGGAAGUGGCAACUAGUGCGCCGGAGGCGUUAAUUUGCAGCACUUCAACAUCGCCAGUGAACUCGCCAAUACAUUCUACUUCGUGUUCGCCACCACCACCGGCUGACACACCGAACUCUGUAGAUUUGGUGGAGGAGGUGAUMGAGACCGACGAGAAUUCAACGUGUCAGUCAACCGACGAAGUGCUGAUCACCGCGGACACGACCACAGCCGACACCAUAAACGAGUGUGAGGAAGACGCGGUCGAAGAAACUGAUGUCGAUUCUAACACCAACAACACUACGACAGUUUUAGUGCCUGCCAAUAGCGGUAGCGCCGCAUUAACAACAACAACUGCGACRGCACUGCCGCAAAUUCAACUGCAAACGCUACAACCGAAUGGCACAGUGACGUGUAUUAAUCUGCCGCCGAACACGAUUCUGCUCACUGCGCCAGAUGGUUCCACGAUACUCGCCACAGCGACGCCACAGCAGUUGAGUAAAUUAACACAACAACAACAGCCACAGCCACAACCGCAGCAACAACAAAUAAUAGCGAUACAAGAUUGGAAUGGCAGUAGCGGUGGCGCCKGCGCCAGCAGCUCCAACAGAAGUGUCGACGCUAAUGCCACAACAGUGCUACAAGCUGUGCAAGCUGCCGCAACACACCACCAACAACAAACAGCCACCACAACGCAAACAUUGCUGCUCACCGCCGACGGCACCGCCAUACCAAUCAUACAAUCGGCACCAGCUGCCGCAACCAGUGCCAACAGCGCCACUUCGAAUUCGGCGGCGGCAGCAGCAGCUGCAGCUCAGAUUGUCGCCGCCCAACAGGCUGAGGCGCUGAAGGCGCAAGUGCUGGCGUAGGGUUUAGCCGGUGGCCAAUUAGGGCGAUUUCUGAAUAAUGCAACGAUUUUACCGACGACCUACUUUUUCUAAGACGACCAGCAGAGACUCCUCUACUCAACAUUACAGAUUUCUGUUUCACAAUCAGAAACUAUAUUCUGUUCAGUAUCUAACGCAGUAAACAAGACGACUGUCAGUUACUACACACACGAAAAAKAUUAUUAAURAAAUUAAGGAGACCAGUUGAGGCAAAUCAUAGAAGAAAAUAAAAGUACUAUAUUUUACUAUUCAAUUAGUUUAUAUUUUAAUUAUGUAUGUAAAUACAUAUUAAAUUAAUAAGAUUUAAUAAUAAUAAAAUAAAAUUUACUGAAAUAAUAUUUAAAUGCAACGUGCUUAAAAAAGCGACGAGUUACAAGUAUUCCUUUUUUUGUAGAUUCUUAGUACUCAGUUGACAUGACUAUGUGCUGAUUGAUAUUUAAUAAUAUUUGAUUUUCAAUUGAAAAAUAUAUGAAAAUGUUUAACAACUUGUAUGUACGUUUAGUAUAUAGACAUAAAAAAUGGAAUAGUUUUAAUCACAUGUUAAUAAGUACAUAAACUCAACUAAUUUAAGCCAAGCAAAACAAACAAACCGAAAAGCAAAUGCGAAAAACUAUUUUAAACAUAAAAUUAUUGAAUUUAGAAACGAAAUGCAAAUUCAGAAUACUUUUGAAUUGGAUAAUUUAUUUAAAAUUUAAGCCAUUUAAAUUAAAAUUCUUUUAAAUUUAUUUAAACAUAAUAAAUCAUUUUCCUUUAACUUAAUUUAAGAACACUUCUUAAUAAGAAAAAAAGUGAAGUAAAUCAAAUCAUGUAAGAAGAAAAUUUGACCAACAAACAAAACCAAUGAUUGAUAAUUAGUAUAAUAGUAAUUAAAGCAUAAAAUAUAUAAUUAUUAUAAGUUUAUUAURCGAAAAUAACAAGUUAUUGAAAAACAGAAAACAUAAAAAAUAUUUUAAAAAAAUGGAAUAGUUUGAGCGAGAUAUUAAUAAAAAAAAUUAAUAAAAAUUAAACUGUUGUAAGAACCUGUAAAAUAUAUACAUAUAUUAAUGUAAAAGCUUAAAUGACCCAUUCAUAUUGCAUGUAGCUCAUGUAACUAACAUUAUUAACUGCACUGUGCUAGUCAGAAAACUAUAARCAUACAAUCACUCGGCUGGUAGUACUUUAUCGUAAUUACACCAGCGCAGAGUUGUUGAUUGUGCUAAUGAAAAAAAUAUAUAAUUAUAAAAAAGUUCCCACUUCAAGCACAGUGUAACAAUGUGAAAUAUUAAAUUAUCUGUUAAUAUUAUACAUUACAUACCUACAAGUAUAUAAUAUAAAAUAAAGACGAAAAUUAUUUCAUAAA